This is a long non-coding RNA of Ictalurus punctatus (channel catfish), 310 nucleotides long. Lineage: Eukaryota; Metazoa; Chordata; Actinopteri; Siluriformes; Ictaluridae. The record is from Ensembl.
AUUUAUUGUUUUGUGUGUUUAUUUUCCUGUGUAUUUAUUGUUUUCUUUUGUGUAUUUAUUGUCCUGUGUAUUGAUUGUUUUGUUUUGUUUAUUCAUUGUCGUGUGUAUUUAGUGUUUUGUAUUUAUAGUUCUGUGUAUUUAUUGUCCUUUCUAUUUAUUGUAUUGCCCUGUGUGUUUAUUGUUUUGUCCUGUGUAUUUAUUUUGUUGUGUUUAUUCAUUGUCGUGUGUAUUUAUUGUCCUAUGUAUUUAUUGUUUUGUCGUGUGUUUAUUGUUUUGUCUCGUGUGUUUUUUUGUUCUGUGUAUUUAUUGU